RNAcentral lists this ribosomal RNA (520 nucleotides) under uncultured Glomus. RNAcentral describes it as "SSU rRNA". It matches the Rfam family "Eukaryotic small subunit ribosomal RNA", at positions 569 to 1091 of the family's 1831-position model. Lineage: Eukaryota; Fungi; Glomeromycota; Glomeromycetes; Glomerales; Glomeraceae. The record is from RNAcentral.
AGCAGCCGCGGUAAUUCCAGCUCCAAUAGCGUAUAUUAAAGUUGUUGCAGUUAAAAAGCUCGUAGUUGAAUUUCGGGGUCAGUAGGUUGGCCGUGCCACAGGUAUGUACUGGCUUCACUGAUUCCUCCUUCUUGAAGAACUGUGAUGCCAUUAAUUUGGUGUUGCAGGGAAACAGGACUGUUACUUUGAAAAAAUUAGAGUGUUUAAAGCAGGCUAACGCUUGAAUACAUUAGCAUGGAAUAAUGAAAUAGGACGUGGAUCCUAUUUUGUUGGUUUCUAGGAUUAACGUAAUGAUUAAUAGGGAUAGUUGGGGGCAUUAGUAUUCAAUUGUCAGAGGUGAAAUUCUUGGAUUUAUUGAAGACUAACUACUGCGAAAGCAUUUGCCAAGGAUGUUUUCAUUAAUCAAGAACGAAAGUUAGGGGAUCGAAGACGAUCAGAUACCGUCGUAGUCUUAACCAUAAACUAUGCCGACUAGGGAUCGGAUGAUGUUAAUUUUUUAAUGACUCAUUCGGCGCCUUAA